UACGGAGGGAGCUAGCGUUGUUCGGAAUUACUGGGCGUAAAGCGCGCGUAGGCGGCUUUGUAAGUUAGAGGUGAAAGCCCGGGGCUCAACCCCGGAACAGCCUUUAAGACUGCAUCGCUAGAAUCCGGGAGAGGUGAGUGGAAUUCCGAGUGUAGAGGUGAAAUUCGUAGAUAUUCGGAAGAACACCAGUGGCGAAGGCGGCUCACUGGCCCGGUACUGACGCUGAGGUGCGAAAGCGUGGGGAGCAAACAGG
This 253-nucleotide ribosomal RNA is filed under the name uncultured bacterium. RNAcentral's name for it is "partial 16S ribosomal RNA". It matches the Rfam family "Bacterial small subunit ribosomal RNA", at positions 524 to 776 of the family's 1533-position model. The record is from RNAcentral.